UACGUAGGGGGCGAGCGUUGUCCGGAAUCAUUGGGCGUAAAGCGCGUGUAGGCGGCUUGAUAAGUCUGGUGUGAAAUCUUGGGGCUCAACCCCAAGCCUGCACUGGAUACUAUCUAGCUUGAGGAGUGGAGGGGGGACUGGAAUUCUCGGUGUAGCAGUGAAAUGCGUAGAUAUCGAGAGGAACACCAGUGGCGAAGGCGAGUCCCUGGACACUUCCUGACACUGAGGCACGAAAGCUAGGGGAGCAAACAGG
RNAcentral lists this ribosomal RNA (253 nucleotides) under uncultured bacterium. Its description in RNAcentral is "partial 16S ribosomal RNA". It matches the Rfam family "Bacterial small subunit ribosomal RNA", at positions 524 to 776 of the family's 1533-position model. The record is from RNAcentral.